This 514-nucleotide ribosomal RNA is filed under the name uncultured bacterium. RNAcentral's name for it is "bacterial SSU rRNA". It matches the Rfam family "Bacterial small subunit ribosomal RNA", at positions 34 to 518 of the family's 1533-position model. The record is from RNAcentral.
CGCUGGCGGCGUGCCUAAUACAUGCAAGUCGAACGGUCUUUCUAUGGAAGCUUGCUUCCACUGAGAAGAUAGUGGCGAACGGGGUGAGUAACACGUGGGUAACCUGACCCAUAAGAGGGGGAUAACAUCCGGAAACGGGUGCUAAUACCGCAUAGUUUUCUUGAUCGCAUGAUUGAGAAAGGAAAGACGGCCUUUGUGCUGUCGCUUAUGGAUGGACCCGCGGCGUAUUAGUUAGUUGGUGAGGUAACGGCUCACCAAGACGAUGAUACGUAGCCGACCUGAGAGGGUGAUCGGCCACAUUGGGACUGAGACACGGCCCAAACUCCUACGGGAGGCAGCAGUAGGGAAUCUUCCGCAAUGGACGAAAGUCUGACGGAGCAACGCCGCGUGAGUGAAGAAGGUUUUUCCGGAUCGUAAAACUCUGUUGUCAGAGAAGAACAAGUUGGAGAGUAACUGCUCCAGCCUUGACGGUAUCUGACCAGAAAGCCACGGCUAACUACGUGCCAGCAGCUGC